ACAUUACAUUUAUAUAAUAUUAAUUUAAUCAAAAAAAUAAAAACUUAUUACCUAACAAAAAAUAAAAAAAAUAAAAAAAAAUAAUAAUAAAAUAAAAUAAAAUAAAAAAAAGUGACACAUCAUAGCUAUUAGCGUAUCGUUCAGUAAAAUUGAAGGUGUGAAGUAAAACAGUUCUAAUACUUGUGAAUUUGAAUUAAUAUAAGGUAUUCAUACAAAAAAAAUUGGAUAGCAAGUGACAAAAAUAAUUUUUUGUGUUACUUGAUUCCAGUUUUAUUCAAGACGUCAACGAAAUUACUAAAGCAAAAUGAAGAAGUCUAAACAGAAAACUGGGUCCUCUACUGUGGUAAAGAGACAAAAAGUUUCACAUUCUAAUGCGAAGAAAAAUGAAUCAUCAGUAACAGAGAAAAAGUUCACUGUUUAUACAUCUGGAUCAUCGAAAGAUAAUACAUUUUCAUCGUCGAAACAUUCCACAAUUACAUCUGGAUCAACAGGUACUGAAUAUGUACCAAUCAGGCGUCGGAC
Molecule: long non-coding RNA, 522 nt
Organism: Culicoides brevitarsis
Lineage: Eukaryota; Metazoa; Arthropoda; Insecta; Diptera; Ceratopogonidae
Exons: 3
Source: RefSeq, a predicted model, not a curated record